AUUGAACGCUGGCGGCAGGCCUAACACAUGCAAGUCGAGCGGAGCGGCGGACGGGUGCGUAAUGCCUAGGAAUCUGCCUGGUCGUGGUGGAUAACGUCAGGAAACGGGCGCUAAUGCUGCAUACUCUCAGCUGAGCCUAGGUCGGGUUAGCUAGUUGGUGGGGUAAAGGCCUACCAAGGCGACGAUCCGUAACUGGUCUGAGAGGAUGAUCAGUCACACUGGAACUGAGACACGGUCCAGACUCCUACGGGAGGCAGCAGUGGGGAAUAUUGGACAAUGGGCGAAAGCCUGAUCCAGCCAUGCCGCGUGUGUGAAGAAGGUCUUCGGAUUGUAAAGCACUUUAAGUUGGGAGGCGUUACCAACAGAAUAAGCACCGGCUAACUCCGUGCCAGCAGCCGCGGUAAUUC
Molecule: ribosomal RNA, 407 nt
Filed under: uncultured bacterium
Lineage: Bacteria
Description: partial 16S ribosomal RNA
Rfam family: Bacterial small subunit ribosomal RNA
Source: RNAcentral